RNAcentral lists this long non-coding RNA (305 nucleotides) under Panax ginseng (ginseng). RNAcentral's name for it is "long non-coding RNA (PGIN_LNC018975)". Lineage: Eukaryota; Viridiplantae; Streptophyta; Magnoliopsida; Apiales; Araliaceae. The record is from RNAcentral.
GACUAAAUAUACUCCAUGAUAUAGUCCAUCUUGUUGGAGAUGCUCUAAUCAUUAUCGCUGACAUAUAAACGGACAAAUCUUUAGAGGGCACGUGACUAGCUGCAUGGCAUAACUUGCCACGUGGAUAAAGAACUUUGUUCACUAUAUAUACCCCGAUCUUCAUUUAACAAACAAGAAACUUGAGAGUCCCAUGCACUUGUUCUAAUAAGAGAAAUAUUGCCUCCCCUUAACUCUCUUAACACAAUGUGUUCCAACCUCCAUGUAUAUUUUGCCUCUUCAACUCAACCUUAUUCCUAACUUCGAAC